Molecule: long non-coding RNA, 2840 nt
Organism: Mauremys reevesii (Reeves's turtle)
Lineage: Eukaryota; Metazoa; Chordata; Testudines; Geoemydidae
Exons: 5
Source: RefSeq, a predicted model, not a curated record
CUCCCCACCCGAAAUAAAGGGCCAGGCAUUUUCCCGAGCCGAGCCGGCCUCGGGAGGGGAUUUUCCCCCGGGUUAAUCGCACGCAGGGAAUUCCUUGGAAUCUGCGGGCUGCGUUUACCUUAGCGCGAACUGUUUCUAAACAAGAUGGACAGAGGUGGGACAAGUUUGGGGGCACGCAGGGAGCCUGGCAGGGGCAUCCAGGGAGCAGCCCCGGGCCCGGGGCGAAUAGCUGUGGCUCUGCCCCCCCCCCUACAGUGUUUCCCCGCAGCCCCACCGAGCCCCGCCGGCUGGCGAGCCGCGUUGUUACAAUGUGUCCAUUGCACAGGACGGGAACAAGGGGGAGAAAGUAGCAGUUUUGCUUAUUAAAGGUCCUGGGGUUGCAACAGCCAAUCAGCGUGGAGCUUCCAUUUUGUUUGAGCGGUGGAAGGCAGCUGGGGAUCUCUCUUUUUGCCUCUUUUCCUGGGCGAGGAGCGUCUCGCCUGGCUUUGGGCUUCAUGUUGUUUUAGCUCAUCUUGUGCUUUUGGUUUGUAAUUUGGCCGUGGUUAGGUAAUUGGCUGGUUAAAGGCACCAGGAGCCCGCAGCCAAUCAGCGCGCAGCUUCCAUUUGGCUUGAGUUAUUAGACGCUGAUCUAAAAACAUCCUUCACCAGACAGCUAAGGAGAGGCCAACAGAUCAGGCAGCCAUUUUUCUGCAAUGGAAUUAAAUGGCCAACUGGGUUUUCCUUUGUUCCAAAAGGGGAUACUUUAUUUGAAUCCACACCAUCCAUUUCAGGACUUCUCAGUGUUGUAUUAAUGUCUGACAACAUUUUAAAGGACUCAAUGAAGAAGGAAGAUAAAAAAGAUUUGGAUUUUUCCUUAUGAUUUGGAAUCCAUCUUUGUCUUGUGUAACUAGGUCAUGGCACACCCUUAUGUCAGCAGUAACAAUUUUGAAUUCAAAAAUAAGUAAAUACAUAUUUUUGUUUGGGUUUUUUAAGCUUUAGAACUAUAUUAUGACUGAACAAUAAAUUUAAAAAAAAAGUUCCUGUAUUAAACACUUAAUUCCUGGCCAUUUUUAUUAACUCCUUUGGUGCUUAUAAGCUAAACAACACAACUUCACCUUCAGAACUGCAUUCAUCAGUGGUGAGCGGGGAGAUGACUGCCCGCCCCCCCCUUUGUGAGGCUCGUGGAAAGUGAAGAAGAGAAACUACUUUCAGAUUGCAAGACAGCUCUAAUCCCCGAACUCAAGUAAGCUCUCUCCAUGCCUCCAGAGAGCUGCGGCCUGCUCAUUUUCUCCACUCCCUCUGAGAGGAGUCGAUGAUGAUGAGCAGAGCUCACUUUACUUCCCAACACCUUCCCUGCUGGUGAAGUCCUUCCUUUACUCUCAGUGUGACUCCUCUCUCAACUGAUCAAUAAUAUGCUGAGGUCUCUUUCUCCUGAGAGGACUCUGUAAACCAGCCUCCUGAGAGAGAUGCUCUCAAGGACCAGGUAUUGGACUACAGGCGGGGGCUGGUGCCACAAAGGACUGGGGGAAUCAGUCUGUAAUGCCCCAAAAUUAUUCCUAUCCGACAGCUGUUCAGUUAUCCAUAUUAAAUAAGCUGGUGAUUUGAGCCCAUCUCCUAGUGUGUAGUUGUUCACAUCAUAGAAAAAAACCAUGGCUGGCAUUUGUUGGCAGAGAAGUAAGGACUGAAUGGAGAGUAGGGAUGUAAAAGGUUAACUGGUAAGCAUUAGGCUUACCGUUAAACUACCUUAACCAUUAACCUUGGCGGCCCCACACCAGCUGGAGCAACCUGAGCCCCGGCUGCCUUGUGCCUGCCAGCCGGAGGGACCCCAGCUGUGUCAGGCUGGCCGGAGCAACCUCGGUUAACCAGUUAAAGGAUAUAAUUUUAAUUGGUUAACCUUUUUAACUGAUAUUUACAUCCCUAAUGGAGAGGUAGCUUGUACUCUCCUCUGUUCAACGCCUCCAGGGCAGGGUUGAGGGACAUAUUCUGGGGGAGCAUGAAAGGAGGAGAAGCUUCCACAGCUGCUGCCUACGGUGUGCCUUCUCAGUGGACAGUGCUCUUCAGGUUCUAGGGCUGUGAGCACCACACCUUUCACCAGUGCUAAUUCACUCAACACUGAGAUUUGGAAAAUCAUGUCAGCCACAUAAAUACUCUGGCCCACAUGAUUGAUACCCCUGAUUUAAGGGAUACCAGAGAAAAUAACCUGAAGAGGAACAGUAUGCAUUCUCUAUGAAUAGCUGCUUUCUAGGUAGAAGACAAUCUGUGGUUUAUGAACCAGAUCUGUCCCAUCUACCUAAGAGUUGCUGAAGGUUCCCUACCUGUUUUUGCUGAGUUGUGCUUCUAGUUUGGCUGUCAGUUCCAUUUUCCUGCCACAGACAGUUGUCCAGUUUUCCCAUUUUUAGCCCUUUGAACAUUAUGGUAGCAUUUGGAUGGUUUAUAUGCAUAGUUUGCCUAAGUGUUUUGCACUGGGUUAGUGCAUGAGCUGCUUUGAGCCAGAUUAAACAGGAACUCUGUUUCCAAGACAUGGAAAAGAGUAUUUUCUCAUUGAAAUUUCCUUUUUCCACAUUACUUAAUAUUCUAGAAAAUUGUUUUAGCAGCUCUUUCUGCUGAAAAGAAUUGGACAGUGUAUUAUUUCCUACUUGGCCAAGUAACAAUUUAAUAAUGUUCUGGUUUGGGCUAAACCUUAUUUAAACUGAUGCAUGUAACAGCCACCUUUCAUUCUAGAUAAAUGUAAAAAAGCAAUUGAGCUCCUUUAUAGAACCAAAACAACAACCAACGAGGAGUCCUCGUGGCACUUUAGAGACUAACAACUGUAUUUGGGCAUAAGCUUUUGUGGGCUAGAACCCACUUCAUCAGAUGCACAA